Molecule: long non-coding RNA, 2159 nt
Organism: Cervus elaphus (red deer)
Lineage: Eukaryota; Metazoa; Chordata; Mammalia; Artiodactyla; Cervidae
Exons: 3
Source: RefSeq, a predicted model, not a curated record
GCCAGGAGCGUUUUGGGGCGCUGUAGCCUCUACACUAACCCAGGUGCCCCACUCACGCUUCUCCAUUUCUGGAGCUCCAGCUCUUAGCGAACCUCCUAGGGGUUCAAGGCACCCUUACUGGUGGGUGGAUGCCUGGCCCACUGGCCACAUGGAGCUCCUGGCCGGGCCGGAAUCCCCCUUAGCCGGUACACCAGGUCCCCCUCCCCUCCGCCCCGUCUUCCCUCCUGAGUCCUAGGCGGACGAGAGAGACUCGCGCAGAGCGCCCAGAGGCCUCCCUGGGCUGUGGUCUUGACCUGGAGGAUGCAUACGCCCCUACCUGACCUUCGAGUGGACGCGGGCGCCUUUCUAGGCCGGCAUGGGUUGAGAAGGGGAGGCGGGGGCUCCUGAUUCUCCGCUCUGUUUUGCAGCUACUGCCCUGCAAGCGCUUGCCUCCUGGCGCCGUUCUGCCUGCGCUCGGCGCCCUCUUCGCGGGCACGAAGUAGCAAUGGGCACGGGCUCUGUCGUAGGAGGGCGCGCCGGAGGCAAGGACAUGCUCCAGAGCCAGAAGAUGGGGAAAGGAGAAGCAGGAGCCCUGGUGAGGAGUCUGAAGAUUGUCCUGCGAAGUGUGAUGGGACAGCCUCUUUUCAGCUUCUCUGAAAAUGGAGACAGAGGAGCUGUGAGUCUUGCUUGCCAAGGUCAUAGGAUUGGAAUCCAGAGCCAUGCCCCUUGCUCCAGGACACGCACCAUCAUCAGAGGCGGAAGAGCCAAGCAGAAAGGGAAGAUGCAGUUGCUGCUCUCUUGAAGCUGCAGCCGUGAGGGGCCAGGAUGGAGGAGGAGGACUGGGGCAGAGAGCACAGUGUGGGUUCUGCUCCCACUCCUGCCCUUCUGGGACUUGGCUGGGGGCCUGGGGAAACAUGCCCCUACCCCCCUACCCAUCCUGCAGAGGUCUUGGCCUUUGACCUGUGGGCCACCGUUUCUGCCCUCGUCACAUUGUAUGCCUGUUCCAGUGCAGGGUGUUCCAGCAAACAGAAGCUCCACCCCAUAUCUCCGCCCCCGAGGACCGAGGGCUGCGUGCCAGGUGGUUGCCCACACAAGGGGCUCCAGCCUUCUAGGAGUUAAUGAUGCCCUCUCCCCAGCUGUCCUCCCCUUGGUGCUCCUCUUCCUCCCUCCUCCUGCUCACAGCAGGCAGGGCCUGGACCUGGGAGCCAUGCCGCUGUGCUGUUGCCAGGGGAGCCGGGAGCCAGAUCCGAGCUAUGCAGGGAAAAGGCCCGGCCUGUCAAAGUGUCUGAGAUGAACCGCCGCCGUCCCCGUGCAGCUGGGCUCAGACGUGUCUCUGCUCUUGUUCUGUGCCUGAGAAUGGCGAAGCCCAGUGAGGUUCAAGGGCAAACUCACUAUUCAUUAGUCAGGGGUUCUUGACGUCCGUGUCUCCCAGGGAUGGGUCCCCCCUCCCUUUUCCUCUCCCUCCUGUGACACAUUCCUGGGUGCCUUUGGUGAGGGCUGCACACCCUCCUCCUCCUGCCCAACUCCUCUCCAAAGGCCCCUGAAUAAACUCCCCACAAGGAGACCAGGCAGGGCAGAGACAAUGGCCGCAGGAAACCAUUCAGGCGGGACUCCAGCCAUGCUGGCCCGUCCUCCACUCCCAGCGCCCCUGUAGGCCCUGCUCCCCUUCUGACUCAGGGCACCCUGGACUACUAGACCACACAGGCCUGGACAAGACAAAGGCACAGGGCACUGCCCUCAGGGCAACAGGCCAGCCCAGCGCCGUCCUCAGUGGGCUGGUUGGAUGCUUCCAUGACCUGUAUCUUACUCUCCAUGCCUUUCUCCACCAUCACAUAUCUCUUCUAAGACACUCAAACACCAUUGGUGGGAAGGUAUGAAAUGUGGCAAUACCAGAAUGUAAAGGACACAUGUACUUAGUUACAAGCAAAUUGCACUGCUAGAAAUUUACUCUACGGUUAACAUGUAGACUUUCCCAAAGAAGAAUGUACAAGAAUGUUCAUCUGAGCAUUUGUUUUUUAAGAAUGUAAAGAAAUGGAAAUGAACCUGUGGCCCAUUCAUACUGUGUGAAAAACUAUGCGACUGCAAAAAUGAAUGUGGUAGGUCUCUAAAUAUUAGCUGAUAAGGAAGGCUGGCCAGUAUAUAUUGUUGGGUGAAGAGAAUAAAUUACAGAACAGGCAAUA